GACGACCCCCUCCUCCUCGGCCCUCUCGCUCAGAAAAUUAGUUAAUCACCCCCCGGCUUGAGCUGGACAGCCAAUCCGCGAGCCCGGGCGGGCCGCGGCCGCGCACAUGGUUAAUUGAUUCGUAGCCGGCCGGCGGGCUGGUCGCCCGGCGCGUGUGAGCGGAGUUAAAGUCCGACGGGUCGCCUUUUCGCCGCGCAGCCGGGCAGGGUAGAGCGCGCCGGUGCGCCCGACGGGGCCUCUUGUCGCGGCACCCGCGUCGUCUUGUCACGAGCCCAAGGCCUAGGAAUAUCCCACUUGUCCUCGCCGAGCUUUGGGGUGGACGGUCCUAAUCCGGCGUGCGGAAGCUAAAAACCACGCGCGCCCGAGGUUCGACGCGCCAAGCUGCGUCACGAUCCCAUGACCGGCCGCCGGCCGGUAUUGCAUUGCGCGGGCUUCUCUUUUAUCAUCAUCAUGCGACGCCGUACCCUUCGAACGGCGCCCGGUCGAUGGAUGCUCGGCCGCAUCGAUCGCGCGCGUACAGCGUACUACGUGGCCGAGCGACGAACAGGAAUCCGUGUUUGGGCCAUCGGUUUCCAUGGCAAUCUAGUAGCGGCGUGCCGGCGUGCUAUAGAUUGUCGCGUCUUUUGUCGCUCCCCCCGUCACUACCUGUUCCUGUGCCGGUGCCGACACGGUAGCGUCGUCAUUUCGCUUGCCCUCCGUCGUAUUGUCACGACGAGUCGAUCGAUCCUGUGCAUGGAACAAGUGAUAGAAAAAACACACAAGAUCAAACAAUGGAAAAGCGUACCCGUACCAAGAGUCUCUUUAUGAGAGCAUGAUUCCCCAGGUGACCAAAUUACAUGUCCCACAGUAUAAGUUCUCUUCAAAUCAACAGGAUUAAAAAAAACAACUCCAUCGCGUGGAAGAAAAAAGAAAGAAAGGCCCCCGAUUUGUCCCGAGCUCGCGCGCUCGCCGCAGAAGCGACACGGCGCGGGGGCGACCGGUUCAAAGCAAAGCUCGCUCACACUCCUCGCCGUAGCGUAUCCAUCCAUCCCCCUCGCCAUUAUCACCCGCAACAGGCGGGGUAUAGAUCCGAGCUCCCUUUUCUCUCUAAUCGUCCAACGCAAAUGAUGCCGAGCACCCAACCCACCCGACGGCACCGCCUGGGAGGAGCCAGAUAAACAAAAUAAAAAACGGGCGGGGGCGCGCGGUGCCAGCACGCCAUCCAUUGGCACUGGCACCCUUUUGUCACAUGCCCAUUGUGCCCGGGUCUUCUAGUCCACCGGCGACCGCACUGUGCCGGGAUGCGGGAUGCUUUGACUUUCUCGCCGGUUCUGCUGUCUCCGGGCGUGCGUUGCGUUCGAAUGAGCUGCUGCAGCUGCACCGUACUGCACGCUCGAAUGAAGCCACAGCGUUGCCCGCAAGGAACGAACCAAAAGCUCCCCGUCCCUUCCCGUGUCUGGCUUGUUUUUACACGGGAGAGAGAGAGAGAUCUUUUACCGCUGUGCUGCCCGUGAACGUGGUGAUGCCUUGCCUGCUUCAGCGGCCAUGUGCGCGGUGAAAAAAGGAGACCGACCCACUGCUCUCAUGCCUACUAGCCAGGAGCUACAGCACGGCAGAAAAGUACAAAUGCUCUGAGUUGCUCGCAUGCGUCCGGCGGACGGGAGGCCGGAAAGGAGUCGAGCCCCCAAAAACAAAUCCAGGAGCGCCCCGGCGUGGGGCUCCGGCCCCUCUCAUUGGUGGACAGAACAGCGCCAGCGGCAGAGGACUCCAAGUCAAAGCGCGCGCGCGAGCGAGCGAGCGAGGCGAGGAGGGAGAACCGGAGAAGUGGACGAGGUGGGUGCGUGGGGCGGCGUGGCGCCCCCAUUAAUUGCCAUGUAAAGGCCGUGCCGUGCCGACCUUGUCCCGCACGGGAUCCAUCCACCUUCCACAGUUCCACCCAAGCAAGCGCGGGGUUGUGUG
Molecule: long non-coding RNA, 1938 nt
Filed under: Setaria italica (foxtail millet)
Lineage: Eukaryota; Viridiplantae; Streptophyta; Magnoliopsida; Poales; Poaceae
Description: long non-coding RNA (SITA_LNC002158)
Source: RNAcentral